UACGAAGGGGGCGAGCGUUGUUCGGAUUUACUGGGCGUAAAGGGCGCGCAGGCGGCUAGUUUUGUCGAGUGUGAAAGCCCCGGGCUUAACCUGGGAACUGCGCUCGAAACGGGCUGGCUAGAGAUCGGGAGAGGAGAGUGGAAUUCCCAGUGUAGAGGUGAAAUUCGUAGAUAUUCGCAAGAACACCAGUGGCGAAGGCGGCUCACUGGCCCGGUACUGACGCUGAGGCACGAAAGCGUGGGGAGCAAACAGG
RNAcentral lists this ribosomal RNA (253 nucleotides) under uncultured bacterium. Its description in RNAcentral is "partial 16S ribosomal RNA". It matches the Rfam family "Bacterial small subunit ribosomal RNA", at positions 524 to 776 of the family's 1533-position model. The record is from RNAcentral.